GGCUGUGUUCCUGUCUUGGCGGUUGUUUGACCUGAAGCAUCCAGCGUUGGAACUUGCAGGCAUUUGGGUGGAGCCAGGUCUUGGUGUUGAGGCUUGUUGAAGGCAACAAGAUGGGAGAGGGAGAGAUUUCAUGCAGUGUGUGAUAUAGAAGAGUGGUGUGAAACAGUUUGGGAGCCCACGGCAAGAUUUCGGAAGGAAUAACUGUGUUGAAUUCCUGGGGAGAUUAGACUCUGAGCCCAUCUGAACUGGAGACCCCAUCCUCAGCAAAGAUCUCUUCAUCUUAAUCACGGUAGAAAAGUUAAAAGUUUCCAGAUUUUAAGAGUGCACUUUAGAUCUAGACAAUGAGGAUUCCAGUAAGGAAUGUGAUAUGAAAAUCAGAGAAUAUUCCCAUAUUUGGAGGGAUUACAUAAAUUUCAUGGAUUAUGGUGAAACCAUAGAAGAAACAACCAGUAAAGACUGAGUUAAAGAAUGAAAUUCAGAUUUAAUAUGAUUUAAAGACAAUAAAUAUGAUUAACUGUUGCAUAA
Long non-coding RNA from Dama dama (fallow deer), 525 nucleotides. RefSeq lists it as uncharacterized. The transcript is spliced from 2 exons. NCBI's taxonomy places the organism in Eukaryota, Metazoa, Chordata, Mammalia, Artiodactyla, Cervidae. The record is from RefSeq and is a predicted model, not a curated record.